Non-coding RNA from Nerophis lumbriciformis (worm pipefish), 857 nucleotides. NCBI's taxonomy places the organism in Eukaryota, Metazoa, Chordata, Actinopteri, Syngnathiformes, Syngnathidae. The record is from RefSeq and is a predicted model, not a curated record.
CUGGGCAUUCUAUAGAAUGUCUAACAGAAAUUCUAUAGACAUUAUCCUUUAUCUGCUGAAAGUUCUAUAGAUUGUUCCAUGGAAUAAAAUUCUAUAAAAUGGCAGCAGCGCUAUCACCAUAGCAUUGAUUAAUCUCAUUAAGUUGAUUCACCAGACUUGAGCUUGUUUUUUGAACAAUGCAGGAUGUCUCCCUCAAUUAUGAAAAUGUUAAUUUUGUAUCAUUUAAAAUUGUGAGGUGUCAUUUCAAGGCGGACACCCAGAACUUCGGCAGACUUUAUUUUUAAAAGUAUAUUUAUUCCAAUAAAUCAAUUUAUUUAUAUUUUUAGAGUUUUUGAGUUAUCUAUAAGUAAAAAGUGUGAAUAUUUUCGUAACUUACUUUUUUAUGUGAUAAAAUUAAUUUUAUUGGACUUCCAACAUAAAUUGAUUUAGCAAAACUCAGUUCAAAGGUUUAAAUCAGACCUAAAACGUCAGGACCCGCCCACGUACCUGCAUGCAGCUGUGGAAGAACAAGCCCAGACACGUUUCUUCACGGAGCCCAAUAGGAAAACACUUUACCGAACUCAUGUUUAGGGUCUUCUAGGCGCGAUGCGAGACGUCACAAGCGGGCUAACGUUGAGCCAAACAGCAGCUUCGAGGCACGGGCGGAAAUGAGAAGGAGUUUGGCCCCCAGUCAGGUCGCCAAACGGAAGCAAGGGGAGGAUGAUCAUCGAGACGAAAUAUAGUAUAUUAACCACGCGGUUCUCGAGAGAAGAUGAAUGGAGAAAAUUGGGACAGUGAUGAAGAAGUCCAAGUUCCAUGGCCACUCAACAAAGCAGGAGGAAGGAAGCAGUCACAAACCAAAUACGUGGCAAGAAUUC